Molecule: long non-coding RNA, 1451 nt
Organism: Pipra filicauda (Wire-tailed manakin)
Lineage: Eukaryota; Metazoa; Chordata; Aves; Passeriformes; Pipridae
Exons: 3
Source: RefSeq, a predicted model, not a curated record
UCUUUAAUUUGUCUUUUUCUUAUUGCAGCUGAGUCUGUUUUCUAUUUCAGUCAAGCAACACUGUUCCCCAUCAUCUAACUUUUUUUUGUGCCACAUAUAAAUCUUAUCAAUAAGAGUACAGACUUUUAAAAGUAAAACAGUGUGCUUAGAAUUGACUGCAGUGCCUGCGGUGUUGGCAAUCCACACAUACUGCCUGGAUAUAAAACUAAAAAGGGUAAGGUAUCAGUCUAAGGCAGCGUUUUUGUCUGAAAAUACCAUGUCCAUUACAUGUAAAAUUGUACUGGCUGCUGAAGCCCUGACAGUCUUUAUUUUAAAUUCCUCUGUAUCUUGUCAGGUCACUGUAUGAGCACACCAGUAUUUACCAAACUGUUCCAAGGUAGGCCAUCCUUUAAAAGAAAUAAUAUAGCUGUUUCCACAGAUUUAAAGGCAGUGUCUCAAACUACCUGCCAAUUAGAUUUUACUUGAUUCUAAGCUGAAGCUUUCAGUGCAAUUCUCCUAAUACUUCUUUGUGUCAGAAUCUACCCUAUUACACACUUCCUCACUAGAAAAGGUGAAAUUAAUAAUCCGUUUAGUAUUUUUUGUCUCUAUUGAAUUUUCUUUCAGACACUGAGGAGUGGAUUUUGAUUUUUAAUGAGAUGUCAAAUUCUUUCUGACAAAGUAAGCAGUAAUUCUACAUGUCUCUAUAAAUAAAGACUUAAUACGUUGUUAUGCCAUCUCCCACAGACUCAAAACAACAGGCUGAUAUUGUGCUCAGUGUUCUCACCUGUCAGCCGUGUUGACUACUUUGCACUGAUGAGGUGCUCUUAAGAGACAUAAGUGCCUCUAAGCCUGCACUAACUGAUCCUAAGGACCUGGCCCUCUGGCUAUUACUUACAUCUAUCUGACACUACCAUUUGACUGUGGAGUAGUUUUUCUGCAGAAUACUGAAUGGACUGCAAUAAUGUCCUUUCUUCACAAGAUGAACAUAUGCCUGGGAGUAUGUGGGCUCAAGUUCCCUCAAGCAGGACUCUUCUAUAGAGGGUGAGUGCUCUGUUGAAGGAACAAUACUGUGAUGCUGUCACCUCUUUACACUAUUUUUCUUGUCCAAUGUCUACUUUUUCUUGUCCAACAUACAAUCAGUUGAUAUCUAUUUGAUCAGGCUCUGUCAGUCAAGCCAACAGAAAACAUCUGGUUCUUACAUCUUUACAUAAUUUGGGUGUGAGCUGAGUUUUCAGUUACUGGGCAGCACCAGGAGGCACAGUUAUGUGUGUGUAAACAGAGCCACCCAAUGAACUCUACCGUCAGAAAUGUAAACAUGUAAGGGAUUCAGUUAAUGUCAAAGUUUAUUGGAAACUGAGCAAAGGUUCUGAGACUUAACUGUUCUCCGAGGGUGGGAGUGUCAACCUGCUGGAGGGUAGGAAGGCUCUGCAAAGGGAUCUGGACAGGCUGGAUUGAUGGGCUGAGGCCAGUUG